AGUGAACGCUGGCGGUAGGCCUAACACAUGCAAGUCGAACGGCAGCACAGUAAGAGCUUGCUCUUACGGGUGGCGAGUGGCGGACGGGUGAGGAAUACAUCGGAAUCUACUUUUUCGUGGGGGAUAACGUAGGGAAACUUACGCUAAUACCGCAUACGACCUACGGGUGAAAGCAGGGGAUCUUCGGACCUUGCGCGAUUGAAUGAGCCGAUGUCGGAUUAGCUAGUUGGCGGGGUAAAGGCCCACCAAGGCGACGAUCCGUAGCUGGUGUGAGAGGAUGGUCAGCCACACUGGAACUUAGACACCGUCCAGACUCCUACGGGAGGCAGCAGUGGGGAAUAUUGGACAAUGGGCGCAAGCCUGAUCCAGCCAUACCGCGUGGGUGAAGAAGGCCUUCGGGUUGUAAAGCCCUUUUGUUGGGAAAGAAAAGCAGCAGGUUAAUACCCCGCUGUUCUGACGGUACCCAAAGAAUAAGCACCGGCUAACUUCGUG
This 492-nucleotide ribosomal RNA is filed under the name uncultured bacterium. Its description in RNAcentral is "partial 16S ribosomal RNA". It matches the Rfam family "Bacterial small subunit ribosomal RNA", at positions 29 to 507 of the family's 1533-position model. The record is from RNAcentral.